Molecule: ribosomal RNA, 1563 nt
Filed under: Clostridioides difficile
Lineage: Bacteria; Bacillati; Bacillota; Clostridia; Peptostreptococcales; Peptostreptococcaceae
Description: partial 23S ribosomal RNA
Rfam family: Bacterial large subunit ribosomal RNA
Source: RNAcentral
GGGUUGAAGCAUGACCGUAAGGACAUGUGGACAGUAUGGGAGUGAGAAUGUUGGCAUGAGUAGCGAGAUGUGGGUGAGAAUCCCACAGGCCGUAAACCCAAGGUUUCCAGGGGAAGGUUCGUCCGCCCUGGGUUAGUCGGGACCUAAGCUGAGGCCGAAAGGCGUAGGUGAUGGACAACAGGUUGAUAUUCCUGUACUACCGAUAACCGUUUGAGAGAAGGGAUGACACAGUAGGAUAAGCUAAGCACACUGUUGGUUAUGUGUGCCCAAGCAUUGAGGCAGUCAAAGUAGGCAAAUCCGCUUUGAUAAUGCUGGGAUGUGAUGGGGAGCGAAAUUUAGUAGCGAAGUAGCUGAUUUCACACUGUCAAGAAAAGUCUCUAUCGAGGUUAAAGGUACCCGUACCGCAAACCGACACAGGUGGGUGAGGAGAGUAUCCUAAGGCCAGCGAGAGAACUGUUGUUAAGGAACUCGGCAAAAUGACCCCGUAACUUAGGGAUAAGGGGUGCCACCAUCAGGUGGCCGCAGAGAAUAGGCCCAAGCGACUGUUUACCAAAAACAUAGGUUUCUGCUAAGUCGCAAGACGAUGUAUAGGAGCUGACGCCUGCCCGGUGCUGGAAGGUUAAGGGGAUCUGUUAGAGCAAUCGAAGCAGUGAACUUAAGCCCCAGUAAACGGCGGCCGUAACUAUAACGGUCCUAAGGUAGCGAAAUUCCUUGUCGGGUAAGUUCCGACCCGCACGAAAGGCGUAACGAUUUGGGCACUGUCUCAACAACAGACUCGGUGAAAUUGUAAUUCCGGUGAAGAUGCCGGAUACCUGCGACAGGACGGAAAGACCCCAUGGAGCUUUACUGUAGCUUGACAUUGGGUCUUGGUACUACAUGUACAGGAUAGGUGGGAGGCUUUGAAACCAGGACGCCAGUUUUGGCGGAGCCAUCCUUGGGAUACCACCCUUGUAGUACUGGGACUCUAACCAUAGGCCAUGAAUCUGGUCUUGGGACACUGUCAGGUGGGCAGUUUGACUGGGGCGGUCGCCUCCCAAAAGGUAACGGAGGCGCUCAAAGGUUCUCUCAGUACGGUCGGAAAUCGUACGUAGAGUGUAAAGGCAAAAGAGAGCUUGAUUGCAAGACAUACAGGUCGAGCAAGGAUGAAAAUCGGACUUAGUGAUCCGGUGGUUCUGCGUGGAAGGGCCAUCGCUCAACGGAUAAAAGCUACCCUGGGGAUAACAGGCUUAUCUCCCCCAAGAGUCCACAUCGACGGGGAGGUUUGGCACCUCGAUGUCGGCUCAUCACAUCCUGGGGCUGUAGUAGGUCCCAAGGGUUGGGCUGUUCGCCCAUUAAAGUGGUACGCGAGCUGGGUUCAGAACGUCGUGAGACAGUUCGGUCCCUAUCCGUCGCAGGCGUAGGAAAUUUGAGAAGACCUGUCCUUAGUACGAGAGGACCGGGAUGGACGUACCUCUGGUGUACCAGUUGUCCUGCCAAGGGCAUGGCUGGGUAGCUAUGUACGGAAUGGAUAAGCGCUGAAAGCAUCUAAGCGCGAAGCCAACUUCAAGAUAAGAUUUCCCACCG